CCACCGGUAGCUCAGUCGGAAGAGCAUACAGAGUACAAUGCAAAACAAUCCAGAAAUUUGAUUCUGUAGGCGCUGGUUCGAGCCCAGCUCGGAGGC
Molecule: transfer RNA, 96 nt
Organism: Stereum hirsutum FP-91666 SS1
Lineage: Eukaryota; Fungi; Basidiomycota; Agaricomycetes; Russulales; Stereaceae
Rfam family: tRNA
About the family: Transfer RNA (tRNA) molecules are approximately 80 nucleotides in length. Their secondary structure includes four short double-helical elements and three loops (D, anti-codon, and T loops).
Source: Rfam